Molecule: non-coding RNA, 21 nt
Filed under: Caenorhabditis elegans
Lineage: Eukaryota; Metazoa; Nematoda; Chromadorea; Rhabditida; Rhabditidae
Source: RNAcentral
UUGGUUUUCGGGGAUAAUUGC